Molecule: long non-coding RNA, 1742 nt
Organism: Chinchilla lanigera (long-tailed chinchilla)
Lineage: Eukaryota; Metazoa; Chordata; Mammalia; Rodentia; Chinchillidae
Source: Ensembl
AUGAAAAGAAAUGUUCGGAGCCCAGACCUUGGACUGCUAAGCUCUUCUGGGCCCGCCCGCCGGUGUAAUAACACUGGUUCCCUCCACCUCUCCUUUCCGAGUGCCGCUCGGUUCUUUAGGGGUGAGGUGUCUGACUGGGAAACACCGAGCUCGCCCAUGGCGCCACCCGUCGGAGUAAGGGGAACCAGACGGCGGCCUGCCCCCACUUUGGCCAGACCUUCUUCAUCGGGGGAGGGUAACCGUUGGUCGCACCAACUUCUCCCUACCGGACUCAGUGGAGGGCUGGGCCCGCCCCCUGGUGCAGCUUCGGGACAGAAGAAGCUGAGUCAAUGAGUCUAGACCAAGAGCUACUUCAGCCCAGCCACCAACUAGAGCCUGAUGCUUCACCUGCCUAGAUCUCAAGGAUGCCUUCUUCUGCCUUCACCUGGCCCCACAAAGCCACCCUGUAUUUGCCUUUGAACGAGAAGAUCCCAAUACAGGUUGGAAGACCCAGUUGACUUAGACAAGGUUUCCCCAGGGCUUCAAAAACUCUCCUUGUCUGGAGAGGCCCUAGCUGCAGAUCUGGCCACUUUCCCAAGAGAAAAAGUGAAUUGCAUUUUACUGCAGUAUGUAGAUGACCUCUUACUGGCAAGUGAGGAAGGGCACUGUUGGAAGAGGCACAAGAACCCUUUUACAGUUGCUAAUGGACACAGAAUACAAGGUGUUACAGUUUGUGUGUGGAUGUCCCCCAAAGCCUCAUGCAGUCAUGGGGGUGGGUGGGUUUUUUGGAGGUGGCUGAAUCUAGAGUUGGUGAUGGGUUCACUGUCUAGUACUGGGAUUGGGGGUGUGAGUGCUAUACACACCAUAGUGCAGGUAUACACACCAUAGCCUGCAUAAUAUAAGGGGGGAAAGAGGCUUGCAUCUCCCUUUUGCUGUCUGCUGCUGCCAUGAACUGUUGUUUUGUUGCUUUUGCUGUCUGCUGCUGCCAUGAACUGUUGCCCCUCUGCCAUGCCACUCUGCCUUGGAACCAACUGAUGUGGACUGUAACCUCUGCAAACUGAAAGCUAAAUAAACCUUUUCUCCUUUAACUCUGGGUGUUGUGUAUUUUCUCUCUGCAACAAAAGAAAAGUAAUGAAGACGUAAGGUGUCUUGCAAGUCUGAUGCCUGGGAUUUAUCAUUACAGUGGGACACUGCCUGGUGCCUGACAGAAAAUGAGUUAUUUGCUCCAUCCUAAAGCCCAACAACAGAAAAAGGCUGGGAAUUUUCAGGGGCAGCCAGGUUCUGUUGUAUAUGGAUACCUGGGUUCUCCAAGAAGCCUAAGCUGCUAUAUGCAGCACUGACCAAACCACAAGAAAAACCUCUUGAAUAGGGGAACAAGAGGAGACUUUCAAAGAGAUCACAAGCUGCUCACCUGUGCCCUGGCUUUAGGACUACCCGAUGUAAAUAGAGAAUUUAACUUCUCUGCCUGUGGAAAAAAGUUAUACUGCUUAACUCAGAUGACUGGACCUUCCAACCAGCUUAGAUAAGAGGCAAGUAACCUACUUAUCUAAGCAACUAGAUGCUGUUGCAACAGGAUGUCCUCCCCACCUUUAGGCCUUGGCAGCAACAGUCACCCUCAUUAAAGAGGCUGACACAUUAACCUUGAGACAAGCCUUUUGAAUCAAACUCCCCCACUCAGUCAUGAAUAAGCAGGGACACAAAUGACUAUCCCAGGCCAGAAUGACCCAGUAUCAAGGACUUCUCUGUAAAAAUCACUGAAUCAC